UUCCAACCCACACCUGCAGGAGUCAGACCACUCCUGGUCCCCUCCUGCAGCGUCCUUUCUCCCUCUCGGCAGUUCCCCAAGGCUAACCGGGUCCUGGCGACUUCUCACACAGUGGCGUCAUACCUGGGUUUGAGCUUUACAUUCUCAGGGAGCCGGAAUCAACCGCUGCCAUGGCGUCGCGCAUCGGGCUGCGCAUGCAGCUCAUGCGGGAGCAGGCGCAGCAGGAGGAGCAGCGAGAGCGCAUGCAGCAGCAGGCCGUCAUGCAUUACAUGCAGCAGCAGCAACAGCAGCAGCAGCAGCAGCUGGGA
This 308-nucleotide long non-coding RNA is filed under the name Rattus norvegicus (Norway rat). Its description in RNAcentral is "long non-coding RNA NONRATT029788". The record is from RNAcentral. Lineage: Eukaryota; Metazoa; Chordata; Mammalia; Rodentia; Muridae.